UGAGGAAUAUUGGUCAAUGGGCGGGAGCCUGAACCAGCCAAGCCGCGUGAGGGAGGAAGGCCCUAUGGGUCGUAAACCUCUUUUGUCAGGGAACAAAAGCGAGUAUGUAUACUAGUCUGAGUGUACCUGAAGAAAAAGCAUCGGCUAACUCCGUGCCAGCAGCCGCGGUAAUACGGAGGAUGCGAGCGUUAUCCGGAUUUAUUGGGUUUAAAGGGUGCGUAGGCGGCGGUGCAAGUCAGCGGUAAAAGCCCGGGGGCUCAACCCCGGCGAGCCGUUGAAACUGCAGUGCUAGAGAAGGCGAGAGGUACGCGGAAUGCGCAGUGUAGCGGUGAAAUGCUUAGAUAUUGCGCAGAACUCCGAUUGCGAAGGCAGCGUACUGGCGCCUGACUGACGCUGAGGCACGAAAGCGUGGGGAUCGAACAGGAUUCAGAUACC
RNAcentral lists this ribosomal RNA (435 nucleotides) under uncultured bacterium. RNAcentral's name for it is "bacterial SSU rRNA". It matches the Rfam family "Bacterial small subunit ribosomal RNA", at positions 355 to 786 of the family's 1533-position model. The record is from RNAcentral.